UUUUUUUAUUUAUUUAUUUUCUUCACUUUUCAAUUCAAUCACGUCGUUUUUAUUUUAAAGUAUUCAAUUCAACGACUAAGCAAGAUAUUAAAGUAAUCGUUGAUGGACAUACAAUGCGAGUAGGCAGUGUAAACGGCCUCAUCAAGAGACUCCAAAUUCCAGUGAGAAAAUGAGUUAAACAGGCAACACCUCACGCUUUCUAUGUUUUUCUUACAAUCACGAAGAACCCCAUCAGCAAACACCCUAAUAAAACUCUCACUCUUCUCCUUCCCCUUUUUGUCCACAUGAUAACUGUCCACAUGGCCGGGGCCUCACGCCAAUCUACGUUCCGUUUGAACAAAUCACCCUUCAAUGUGGCUCUUUCGGUAACAAAUCCCGCCUUGAAUGCCUACACAUUUCCACUCUCUUCCAGCCCAAAGUUCAUCCGCUUGUAUUUCUUCCCAGCUUCAUACGCCCCCAACUUCGACCGAUCCCAAGCCGUCUUCUCAGUCAAAGCCGGUGGCUUUACCCUUCUCCACGACUUCAACGCUUCAGCCACGGCUGAUGCUUCUGCCUCGGAUACUAUAUACAGAGAGUUCUGCUUCCACACUGAGUCAGGACAGAAUUUGAAUAUCACGUUCAGUCCAGGCAAAGCAAGCCCAGAUGCCUACGCGUUUAUCAAUGGGAUUGAAAUUCUCUCCAUGCCCCCAUAUCUUUUCUACACUUCACCCCAGAGCCCGGAUGGGGUUGCUUAUGUAGGCAGCGCAAAGACGAUUCGCAUCGAGAACAACACUGCUCAGGAGAUGGUGUACCGAAUCAAUAUCAGUGACGAAAGCCGGAUCUAUUCCUAUCAGGAUACUGGUAUGCACCGCAAUUGGGAUGGUUCUGGAGACGAGUACAGCUACUUAGACGAUUUAAGUAGGAAGUUUACCUAACCGGAGUAAAUAAGGAUGAACAGUCACCAAAGAGAAACAUGUCUUUGAAAUUCCACAAGAUCCUACAAAAAUACCUGAAACAUGUCUGGGGCCAUCAAAAAGUCGCCAAGUACUUGGCCAGGAAUUUGAAAGACUCCUUUGCCAGACUAAAAAUACAACAGAAAAUGUAAUUAAUUGUUCUUAAAACAAAUCGAGGAGAGACAUGUACAUGUAGAAAAAAGAUUACAAAGCAUACUUUUUGUGUUCUUUCAGUACAUUAGCGACGGUCAGAAAUAACUGCUUCUGAUCAGAGAUCCCAAUAUUCCACUCUUUCAAAAAACUUUCCACAUUUUUGAAUGAAGGGAUGACAUGUUCAGUGACCCUCCGAUUGAUAGCCAAAUUAAGAGCACUCAAGUAGACUAAGAACCGGCUAUAUGGGUUCUCCAGUAGGUUGUACAGAUUGAACAAACUGUAAAAAAAAUGCUUCAUCUGGACUUUCAGACUUUGUAACAUUGCGGAUAACAGUGAAUAUGCACUAAAAAAUACAUGAAUUUGUGUAUGAUGAGCAUUGACAAAACCGUUCAGAUGCCAUCUAAUUGUCGUUAUUAAUUGAAUAAGUUGACACUAAGUCCAUAUCGUCUAGUAUUGAUAAUAAGAACGUUUUAAAGAAUAUUAGCAAUUUCAAUUUCUACAAGGGUAAGCAUCUAUGUAAUUGACCAAAAACGCAUGCAGAAUUUUGAAGUACUUAGGCUAGGGAGCUUCAAGCAAACAAUCUUUCAAAUUUUGUUAAAAUUGAAGAUAAAAAUGAAUUAGUCGUGAAGGAAUAUUAUCCCCUCCAAAUUAAGUUAAAUAUCUCGAUCAAUACAUUAAGGAUGCUUAAUUUUCAAGUGUGCAGAAAGAAUGAGUGAAGCACAAAUAUCUAGAGUGCAGAUUUAAAGAUCAUGCUUAAUUCAUUGUGUAGUAGAGGUUCGACAUCAACGACAUGCUAAAAACUUAAGGGUCGUUUUCGGGUGGAUGCUAUAUAAUGGAAGAGAUUGAAUCUCUACAUGUGGUUGAUAGACCAUCACUCCUAUUCUUGUACUCCUGGGGUUGAGGUACUCGGUUAGGGAGUAGGAUUCUCUCCCCUCUUAUUCUCAUCAAGCAGCAAGUAUCACAUCCAUAAUCAAAGAAGCACCCUCGGCAUCGUCUUCUAUCCGCAAAGUUUCAUGCUCCACACAUCACAGAUUUCUCACUCCGAUUUUACUUGCAGAAUAUUUAACCUCACCACUCCCGGCCAAAGCUACUUGUGUCGUUCAUUGGGAAUCAAACAAAAUAUUUAAGUCGGGUCUGUUAUCCCAUAGUCAAGAACACAAGUCUUAGUAAAAGUAAACACAUCAUGACAGGAAGAUACAUCCAUCCAAUGUGAUAGAGGAAAAGGAAUGGAAAUUGCCCAAGUGAUGCUUCAGCGCAAGUCUUUUCUAUGCAAAGACUUUGAACAAACCCUGGCUGACUCUUCCUGUUUACCUUUCCUUGUUUGCGUUUGCACACCAUUGUCACCCCUAUUGUACGUCCACCAUGUAUGGACUUGUAAAUAAGUUGUGCUAUUUUCCAUAUUGCCAAUUGGUUUUAUGGUAGAACAUUAACUUUUUUUAAGAGAUUCGCCAACAAUCUACAUUCCGGUGAAAGAUAUCACCAUAAAAUGUGGCUAUUCCGGCAGCAUAUUCGAUCACUAUGAUAAAUGAAAUUGGAAUGGAGAUGCUUACUUAAACAUUUUCUCCAUUAGAAGCACACCAAGCAGUUGGUAUCACAUCCAUAUCCAAAGCACCACCUUCAAUGUUGUCGUCCUCCGUCCGCCAAGUGCCAUACACCACAACACUUGUAUCAUAGUAGCGUGCAAUUCUUCAUUAGUUCAUUUUCCUUCAAUUCUUCCAGAUGAAGUUGGGCUUUCCAGGACCACCUGUCCUGAUGGAGAAGAAGGAUUUCCUAGUUGAUCUGUCAUUUUUAACAAAUCUUGAAACGAUUCGUAUUUUGUCCUCUUUUUGACACACGAGAUUGAAACAGAAAUCCCACCGGGCGUGCCAAAACUAUGUUCGUGGCUAGAAUUUCCGUCGGGGAUGCUUCCUAGCCGACAAGCACACAGCUCUCCGAGAGGUUGGCGCCAGUUGAUGGUUUCUGUCGGGCUUCUGCUUACUGGCGGGCUUGUCGGGCAAAUCUUGUCGGGUAAGGCUUGUUGGGCAAGGCUGAAAGAGAAGGAUAGGGUUAACUUUGAAAGGUGCCUUUGUAGGGCCUUAGGUAUAGGCCUUGAGGCUCACAAUCAAGAUUAACUUUUAGGUAUUCAGGCGUGCCACUGCCAUCUUUAGCAUGGCAGAUGUAAAACAGAUGUUGAGUUUUAAUUGUAUAUAUACCCGAGAGGUUGUUUUAGUUAUGAAAGGUGCAUUUGUGGGGCCUUAGGUGUAGGCCUUGAGGCUUCCCAUCAAUAACUAACUCAGUACUCGAACAUAUAAUGUCUAUUUCAUUGGUUGCAGAAGUGUUAUGACUAUUAUACUUCUAAUUACCCGAGCCCGAAGAGCCAAAUGCAUCCAAAUAGGUGCCUUUGUAGGGCCAUAGGUAUAAGCCUUGAGGCUUCCCAUCAGAAUUACUUCUAUACUCAAAUGUUCUACGAUAAUCAUAAUAUAACAGAAAUAAAACUUAGGAAAUCGGUCGAUUACUUGCGCCCCAAGUAACUUCUGACUUCUUGUUAUCAAAGACUGUCGUGGAUGGGUUAAGUCCACAUAAGGUUCUUUUUUAUGCCUUGAGACCAAGGACUUUUGAAUGAUCAAUCUUACAUGCCCAAGGGUUUAGAACUUAGAUCUGAUUUAAGUUGUGACUACAUAUUCCAAUCGGAAUCAAGGACUGAGGAGUCUUUUAAUCAUCAACUUGCUGGAACUAACUUGGAUACAAAUGGAAGUAUACAAUAUAUUACUAGACUUAUGAAUGAAAAGACCAAAAAACAAAGAGGGUCGGGCAAGGUUUCACCUUGUCAGGCAAGACUGGUCGUCUUGCAACUUCCUAUCAUGUGAUUUAUGGAGGGGCUUGAGAGCUUUAGAAAGAGGGCUGGGGAGGUGAGUUUACAUAAGGAAAUCGAUACUACAACAAGAUUUAUGCAAGGUAGCAAAACUUUUACAAAGGCUUUGGGUGAGGGUUGAUCCCGAAAGGGAUGAAGGUUUGGGCUGACUACAGCUUCGUUGAAAGCAAAUCUGGCUUGAGCAGAGUUUGUGUUUGUAUUUGUUUGUUUGUUUGAGUGACCUCAUCUCUGAUUUCUCUUUCUUCUUUUAUAGGCAGUUUGGCUUGGCCUCAUGUAGCUUUAAUCUUGCCCGAAUGCAGCUUGAAGGGCAAUGACUCAUCAACUUUUUACUUGUACUGCCACUGUAAAGUGCUUUUGGGCUGAUUAGCUGGCUGGUCUACACCACUUGAUCUCUAGGUAGGUGAACAAGUAGUGCAAAUGAUCUGCAGUCGGAAAAAAGCCCUUUUCUUCCUUCUGGGCUUUGGCUGGGCUUCGGGCCCCUUUCCUCCUAGUCCUCUUGUUGGGCUGACUCCCUUUUGAGCCCAAAGUUCAAGUUUUAACCCAAACAACCCUCCCAUUGAUAGCCAAAUUAAGAGCACUCCAGUAGACUAAGAACCGGCUAUAUGGGUUCUCCAGUAGGUUGUACAGAUUGAACAAACUGUAAACAAAAUGCUUCAUCUGGACUUUCAGACUUUGUAACAACAUUGCGGAUAACAGUGAAUAUGCACUCAAACAUCUGGAAGGAAACAAAAAUACAUGAAUUUGUGUAUGAUGAGCAUUGACAAAACCGUUCAGAUGCCAUUUAAUUGUCGUUAUUAAUUGAAUAAGUUGACACUACGUCCAUAUCGUCUAAUAUUGAUAAUAAGAACGUUUUAAAGAAUAUUAGCAAUUUCAAUUUCUACAAGGGUAAGCAUCUAUGUAAUUCACCAAAAACGCAUGCAGAAUUUUGAAGUAAUUAGGCUAGGGAGCUUCAAGUAAACAAUCUUUCAAAUUUUGUCAAAAAUUGAAGAUAAAAAUGAAUUAGUCGUGAAGGAAUAUUAUCCCCUCCAAAUUAAGUUAAAUAUCUUGAUCAGUACAUUAAGGAUGCUUAAUUUUCAAGUGUGCAGAAAGAAUGAGUGAAGCACAAAUAUCUCAAGUGCAGAUUUAAAGAUCAUGCUUAAUUCAGCAUGUAGUAGAGGUUCGACAUCAACGACAUGCUAAAAACUUAAAGGUCGUUUUCGGGUGGAUGCUAUAUUAAUGGAAGAGAUUGAAUCUCUACAUGUGGUUGAUAGACCAUCACUCCUAUUCUUGUGCUCCUGGGGUUGAGGUACUCGGUUAGGAGUAAGAUUCUCUCCCCUCCUAUUCUCAUCAAGCAGCAAGUAUCACAUCCAUUUUCAAAGAAGCACCUUCGGCAUCGUCUUCUAUCCGCAAAGUUCAAUGCUCCACACAUCACAGAUUUCUCACUCCGAUUGUACUUGCAGAAUAUUUAACCUCACUACUCCCGGCCAAAGCUACUUGUGUCGUUCAUUGGGAAUCAAACAAAAUAUUUAAGUCGGGUUUGUUAUCCCAUGGUCAAGAACACAAGUCUUAGUAAAAGUAAACACAUCAUGACAGGAAGAUACAUCCAUCCAAUGUGAUAGAGGAAAAGGAAUGGAAAUUGCCCAAGUGAUGCUUCAGCUCAAGUCCUUUCUAUGCAAAGACUUUGAACAAACCCUGGCUGACUCUUCUUGUUUACCUUUCCUUGUUUGUUUUUGCACACCAUUGUCACCCCUAUUGUACGUCCACCAUGUAUGGACUUGUAAAUAAGUUGCGCUAUUCUCCAUAUUGCCAAUUGGUUUUAUGGUAGAACAUCAACUUUUUUUAGGAGAUUCGCCAACGAUCUACAUUCCGGUGAAAGAUAUCACCAUGUGGCUAUUCCGGCAGCAUAUUCGAUCACUAUGAUAAACGAAAUUGGAAUGGAGAUACUAAAACAAUUUCUCCUUUAGAAGCACACCAAGCAGUUGGUAUCACAUCCAUAUCCAAAGCACCACCUUCAAUGUUGUCGUCCUCCGUCCGCCAAGUGCCAUACACCACAACACAUCAUUCUAGCUCCGAUUUUACUUACAGAGUAGAAGCUGCUCAUAAAGCUGAUGCUAAUAACUUUGGUUAGCACAAAAGUCGUUCUUUUCUACAUCAAAGGCCAACGCUGAUCUGAAGAAUUUUAUGAUGAUGUGACAAUAAACACACAAGCAAAUAAUAAGAGAUUUUACUGUCUCUCCAGAAAGGUGGUAUUAUUUCUCCAACCACAUCCUCUAAUUGAAUUGACAAGAACCACGUACUACGCCAAGAAGAUACACAUCGAGUGACUCAUUCUUCACCGCACAAAGACAUUGUGUAGACUUGUAGCUAAGCAAGAUAUUUAAAGUGAUCAUUCACAGACAUACAAUGCUAAUAGCAGUGUAAACGGCCUCAUCAAGAGACUCCAAAUUCCAGUGAGAAAAUGAGUUAAACAGGCAACACCUCACCCUUUCUAUGUUUUUCUUACAAUCAUGAACAACCCUAUCAGCAAACACCCUAAUAAAACUCUCACUCCUCUUCUCCUUCCCCUUUUUUUCCACAUGAUAACCAUGUGCAUGGCCGUGGACUCGCCGCCAAUCUACCGUCCG
This 6539-nucleotide long non-coding RNA is filed under the name Malus domestica (apple). Its description in RNAcentral is "long non-coding RNA (MDOM_LNC017211)". Lineage: Eukaryota; Viridiplantae; Streptophyta; Magnoliopsida; Rosales; Rosaceae. The record is from RNAcentral.